RNAcentral lists this unclassified non-coding RNA (1233 nucleotides) under uncultured Neocallimastigales. Its description in RNAcentral is "partial contains small subunit ribosomal RNA, internal transcribed spacer 1, 5.8S ribosomal RNA, internal transcribed spacer 2, and large subunit ribosomal RNA". The stretch from base 615 to 1233 matches the Rfam family "Eukaryotic large subunit ribosomal RNA", at positions 1 to 646 of the family's 3401-position model. Lineage: Eukaryota; Fungi; Neocallimastigomycota; Neocallimastigomycetes; Neocallimastigales. The record is from RNAcentral.
GGAAGUAAAGUCGUAACAAGGUUUCCGUAGGUGAACCUGCGGAAGGAUCAUUAAUAAAUGUCUACGUUUUUUAAGUAGACGCUUAAUAAUCCUACCUUUGUGAAUUUGUUUGUUUGAAAUAAUUUUUUUAAAUUAUUGAAUGUCCUUCCUGUUGAAUUGGUUUGUCUUAAUGGCAAAUGAUUCGCAGGGAGUGUCAGUAAUUUUUAAAAAGACCUUUUUUUAAAUUAAACUUCUUGUAUUCAUUUGUCUAAAAUUAUUUUAUAUAAAACAACUUUUGACAAUGGAUCUCUUGGUUUCGCAACGAUGAGAACGCAGCAAAUGCGAUAGUAGUGUGAAUUGCAGAUACGUGAUCAUCGAAUCUUCAAACAUAUUGCACUUUUUAGUUUACUAAAAAGUAUGUCUGUUUGAGUAUCAGUAAAAUAUUCUCAUAAAACUUUUUGUUUUAUGUUAUGAGUGUUUACAACGAUACAAGUUGUUUCACUUAAAUUUUUUUAAAAUUUGAAUUUUCUAAUUUAAAAUAAAAUUGGAUAAAAUUUCCCGUAAAAAGGAAUAACCUAAACAAUUUUAAUUUUGAUUAGAAUUCUUCAAUUAUAAAGGAAAAUUAACUAAAUACUUGAUCUCAAAUCAGAUAAGAGUACCGCUGAACUUAGCAUAUCAAUAAGCGGAGGAAAGAACUAACAAGGAUUCCUUAGUAACGGCGGGUGAAGCGGGAAGAGCUCAAAUUGAAUCUUCAAGGUUUUACCUUGACGAUUGUAGUUUAAGAAGUGUUUCUGUUGAGUUUGGUAAAGUUCUUUGGAAUAGGACAUCAUAGAGGGUGAGAUCCGUAUUUGACCAUUAUUUCAGCUGUGUGAUACACUUUCAAAGAGUCGGAUUGUUUGGAAUGCAGUCCAAAUGGGUGGUAAAUUUCAUCUAAAGCUAAAUAUUGGCGAGAGACCGAUAGCGAACAAGUACCGUGAGGAAAGAUGAAAGAACUUGAAAAGAGAGUUAAACAGUACGUGAAAUUGUCAAAAGGAAGCGUUGACACCAGUGUUGUUUUCUCGAAAUCAAUAAAAAGAGUUGGAUUUGUGUUGUAUUGACCUUAACAGCUUGCCCAUCUUUCUUGCUUUUUAAUGCACUUUCGUUUAACAAGUCAACAUCAGUUUCUUGUUGUAAAAGGUCAUUGGAAGUGCCUUUCUCUUCGGAGAAAGUGUUUAUAGCCUUUGAUCUCGCAAUCGGAGAGACUGAGUUGCAGCG